AGGUUUUCCCUAGGGGAACCUGCGGAAGGAUCAUUGU
Molecule: ribosomal RNA, 37 nt
Filed under: Struthanthus cf. polyrrhizos Bolson & Imig 490
Lineage: Eukaryota; Viridiplantae; Streptophyta; Magnoliopsida; Santalales; Loranthaceae
Description: partial 18S ribosomal RNA
Source: RNAcentral